RNAcentral lists this ribosomal RNA (164 nucleotides) under uncultured bacterium. Its description in RNAcentral is "partial 16S rRNA". It matches the Rfam family "Bacterial small subunit ribosomal RNA", at positions 355 to 511 of the family's 1533-position model. The record is from RNAcentral.
UAGGGAAUCUUCCACAAUGGACGAGAGUCUGAUGGAGCAACGCCGCGUGAGUGAAGAAGGGUUUCGGCUCGUAAAACUCUGUUGUUAAAGAAGAACAUAUCUGAGAGUAACUGUUCAGGUAUUGACGGUAUUUAACCAGAAAGCCACGGCUAACUACGUGCCGG